GCUUACGGCCACACGGCCUGGUUCACCCCCGAUCUCGUUUGAUCUCGGAAGCUUAGAUAGGUUGGGCCUGGUUAGUAUUUGGAUGGGAGACCGCCUGGGAAUACCUGGUGUUGUAAGCU
This is a ribosomal RNA of Scophthalmus maximus (turbot), 119 nucleotides long. The record is from Ensembl. NCBI's taxonomy places the organism in Eukaryota, Metazoa, Chordata, Actinopteri, Pleuronectiformes, Scophthalmidae.